Molecule: ribosomal RNA, 368 nt
Filed under: uncultured Glomeromycotina
Lineage: Eukaryota; Fungi; Glomeromycota
Description: LSU rRNA
Source: RNAcentral
UUGAAAGGGAAACGAUUGAAGUCAGUCGUACCUUCGGGUAAUCAGCCUUUCGGGUGCGAUUCUGUGGAGUUUGAGGAGCUUAACACCUUCAUGCUUUGCAUAUUCGUGCUCUUGGGUGUACUUGCCCGUGUGGUUGGUUAACAUCAAUUUCGGGCACCAUAAAAUGGCUGGAGGGAUGUGGCUCCUUCGGGAGUGUUAUAACCUUUAGCGGAAUGUGGUGUUCGGGAUUGAGGAUUGCAACGAAUACCUUUAGGGCUGUUCCACCUGGCUUCUCUUUGGUAUCCUGGUGACGACAGCUUGCUGACGUCGUUAGGAUUCGCCUUUGAACAGGUUAGAGUGUGAGCAAAUUCGUUAAGGAUGUUGACGUA